This 120-nucleotide ribosomal RNA is filed under the name Orchesella cincta. The record is from RNAcentral. Lineage: Eukaryota; Metazoa; Arthropoda; Collembola; Entomobryomorpha; Orchesellidae.
GCCAACGGCCAUACCACGUUGAACACACCAGUUCUCGUUCCGAUCACUGAAGUUAAGCAACGUCGGGCCCGGUUAGUACUUGGAUGGGUGACCGCCUGGGAACCCCGGGUGCUGUUGGUA